This 484-nucleotide ribosomal RNA is filed under the name uncultured bacterium. RNAcentral describes it as "partial 16S ribosomal RNA". It matches the Rfam family "Bacterial small subunit ribosomal RNA", at positions 28 to 507 of the family's 1533-position model. The record is from RNAcentral.
GAUGAACGCUAGCGGCAGGCAUAAUACAUGCAAGUUGAACGGCAGCACAGGUAGCAAUACUGGGUGGCGAGUGGCGCACGGGUGCGUAACACGUAUGCAACCUACCCUAUACAGGCGAAUAACCUUUAGAAAUGAGGGCUAAUAUGCCGUAGUAUUACAGAUGGGCAUCUAUUUGUAAUUAAAGAUUUAUCGGUAUAGGAUGGGCAUGCGUCCCAUUAGUUAGUUGGUAAGGUAACGGCUUACCAAGACGAUGAUGGGUAGGGGAUCUGAGAGGACUUACCCCCACACUGGUACUGAGACACGGACCAGACUCCUACGGGAGGCAGCAGUAAGGAAUAUUGGGCAAUGGCCGCGAGGCUGACCCAGCCAUGCCGCGUGCAGGAAGACGGCCUUAUGGGUUGUAAACUGCUUUUAUACGGGAAUAAUAGAGUGUACGCGUACAUUUAUGCAAGUAUCGUAUGAAUAAGCAUCGGCUAACUCCGUG